UUCGGCCCCGGGCAUCACCGAGAAAUAUCCAAAUUUUCUCGAGCAAGUUUUGGACAUGUGAAAGUACAUAAUGAUAUCUAGCAUAUAUCCAAAUUUCAUCCCAAUCGGAGAUUGUUUGCAUUAGAAAACAUAGGGGACGAAGGUAGUGACGUGAGUGGAUAUGUUGAAACAUGAAAUGCCUUUGUGAAUUCAAAUGUUAAGGUAAUGUUUUCUAUUGAAAUAUCACAUGAUUUUUCGACAAAAACGCUAUACAAUAACGAUGUAAACUAUUACAUAAGUGAAAAGCCCAAAAAAUCAAAACAUACGUUAAUGUGGCAUUUCGUCGAACACUUGGUGUGCAAUGUGAAUUACUUCCUAUUUCUUACCUACACUACCAUGAAAGUUCCCCAAUUCACAAUAGUACACCAAUCAUCCACAAUACAUCCUAACUAAAUCCACACAUUGAAAGAUAAUCGUUAAAUGAAACUCGAAAUUAGGGAUUAGAGAAACAUACCUUGUAGUUUCAAUUCUUGUUAAUUUAGGUGUGGUACCUUAAUGUAGAAUCCAAUCCAAUUGAAUGAAGAGUGUGUGAAAUGGGUGUAAGUGUAGAGGAUGAAAUGA
Molecule: long non-coding RNA, 600 nt
Filed under: Olea europaea (common olive)
Lineage: Eukaryota; Viridiplantae; Streptophyta; Magnoliopsida; Lamiales; Oleaceae
Description: long non-coding RNA (OEUR_LNC010869)
Source: RNAcentral